RNAcentral lists this transfer-messenger RNA (375 nucleotides) under Candidatus Adlerbacteria bacterium RIFCSPHIGHO2_01_FULL_54_23. It matches the Rfam family "transfer-messenger RNA". From Rfam's summary of the family: Bacterial tmRNA, also known as 10Sa RNA or SsrA, is named for its dual tRNA and mRNA-like properties. RNAcentral also lists the same sequence under 2 other names. The record is from RNAcentral. Lineage: Bacteria; Candidatus Adleribacteriota.
GGGGAUGAAUUGACUAGACAAUGGACUGAUGCGAUAGAGCCGCGAAGUGAGAGCCCAGAACUCUCUCAAAAACUGGAAACUCUAACUGCAAAAUCAGUUGCAUCGCCGUAUUUUGCGGCGAAUGAUUUCGAGUUCGCCUACGCUAAGGCAUAACUCGUCGCCGCUCUUGCAAUACUCGUGAGCAAGAGUCGGGCGUUAUAUCACCGAGUUGCUGCAGCGCACGUGCUCCGCGCGUUGUUUAAGACUUAGAGCUCUGGCUUGAUGCGGUUUUGUCCGCUUUACACGCAUCAAGCCGAGAUUGAAAACGGACUACACUUCGUAGACGCACCGUCGCUCAACCAUUGGACGGGGGUUCACUACCCCCCAUCUCCACAU